UAUUCUUUUUCCUUGCCUGUCUUAUUCAAAUUGCCAGUUUGACCAAUGUAGAAACACUGACUUAUCCAGUUGUUUCAGUUCUGUGAAGCUUCCCUAUUGCAAAGCUCUUUACAGAAAAGUUUCAAUGUGUUGAAAUAAGCGAUAAACCUUGGAGCCAGUUUCAUGUUUAAAUUCAGAAUAUGGCACUUCCUAGCAGCAGAGCUUUGGGAAAGUGACGUCACAGAGUAUUAGUUUCCUCCUCUGGCAAAUGGACAACAGUACCUAAUUUCUAGAGCAAUUACAAUGAUAGAUUGAGGUAACGCUCAUAACUGUUAGUACAGCACCUGGUGCUUAGUAGAUGCCCAGUGAAUGUAAGCUCAUGGUAUCAUUCCCUCCCUUUGCUGGACCGUGGACAAUGGCAAAGGUGGUGGGGAGCAUUUGAACCAACUCCCCAUAUAUUCCUUGGGUAUAUACUACAGGUGUAACAUUAAACCCAGUCCUCUUAGAAUACGGAGACCCAUCUUAAGGAUGAUUCUUUAGGAAAACUUAAAAGAGUGAGCAGAUUUAAACUGGUAUUUGAAAGAUGAUGAGCUUUGGUUUCAGAGGGCAAAAGGAAGUCAUUCCGCUUAUACAGUGCAUCCUGGGUGGACUCACUGGUUCUCAAUAUCCAUUCAUUCUUUCUUCCUUUUACUAAUGCACCUCCUACUACAUCCCUGUCCCUCAGUUUAGCUCAGAUGUGGCUACCUGCUACUUCUAUGACCUUUUUUUUUUCUUUGCCUCCAGGAACGACCACAUGAAUAAGUUCUGAACAAUAGGAUGUGACAAGAAGCACUGUUGUGGAUCACUUCUCAAAAUGAAUUUACUUGUUCUGUGUGUCUUCUUCCCCUCUCUUGAGGAUUGGCAUGGGAGUAUGAUGGGGAAGAGUCAUCUUUGCUCAUAAAGACAAUGGGGGAUGAUGAAGCAAUAGAAAGAAGAAACUGGGUUCCUGGUGACUUUGUUGAGCACAGCCACCCUUCCCAUCCAGACAGCCCAACAGCUCCACUCCUCCUUCCAGUUAAGCCACUGCUGUUUGAUCUCCAUUAUUACAACUAAACCAGUAUCUUCACUAAUCAUAUCCUGAGGAUGUAGGUGCAGGUGAAAAUGAGCCUAACACAUGUGGGGACAGAAAAGGAAUGGGUCUGAGUGGAAAAAAGGGAGGGUAUUUGAGAGUAAUAGGUAAAGGCAAACAGAGCACAGACUUACUUCUAGAUUCUUGAUGGGAGGAAGGCUAGGGAUUCUGAGAAGAGAGCAAAGCAAAUAAAGCCUUCCUACCCACAUGCCACCAAAAAAGCAUGGAAUAAAAUGAAAGAUAAUCCAUGGAAAAAAGCCAAGAAGACACAUUCCUCUCAUUCCAAUUCAACUCAGCAUCAGCUCAACUCAUAGGAGGAGGGCUCUAAGAACAAGGUCCAACACCAUCCUCACUAAGGGGUGGUUCUGUUUCUGUUAAUUGACCAGCUGCACAGAUGGGAAGUGAGGAUGAACUGAGGCAUCCCAGUCCAUUCUGAAUAGCCCUUUGCAAGCUCUGACUUGCACCGAUCAUAAUCACUUUUCCCUAUUGUUCUAUUUCCACCUUCUAAGGCCACAAAGAGCAAGUAGAAUCCUUGCAUAACUCUUGCUUCAAAUGACAGUCACUCCCAUGUGUGAUGGUGGCUCCCAUGGAGUCUCAUCUUAUAGAGGCAAACAACUCUUUCAUUAAGUCCUCAUAUUUAUACAUUUCUAUUUUUGUCUUUGCAGACAGAAUUCCCACCAAGGCUGUGCAGCCAUGGGCAAACAAGUUUCCUUGCCAUCCCAGCUUCUUUAUCUGAAAAAUGAAGAAGCUUGACUUUUCUAUUUACAAGUCCUCGUGUCAAAUACUUCUGGGAGGCAAGAAUGUAUACGGGGUGUUGGACAAUAGGGAAUGAUGAUAAUCGUGGUGAACUGGAAACUACAUACUUGACCUAAGGACAUUAAUGUUAAAUUUUGAGUUUUGUUUAUUGCCUGCUAGUGUUUGCUUUUUGGUAUUAAAGCUACAUUAGCCAUGUAAGCCACACCUGAAUGCUAGAUAUAGGCAAGUUUAUAAAUUCUGGUCUGAAUGAUCUUAAGGACUUCUCUAGCCCUAAAAUUCCAUUAUUCUUUUAAGGUGUCCCAUUUUACAGAGUGGACUCCAACUAGGCCUAUCUUUUGUGCCAAAGGGAGCAGAUACACCCUUGUGCUGGACAUCCUCCGUUUGCCCUUCCAGAUUGCUUUUCCAUUCUUCUCCACCUUGCUCUGUGCCCUGGAAUCUAAUUGUUAAGGACGCCAUCAAGCUGAGCUCAUUGAAUUCUGAGUUCUAGUUGGAACUGGCCAAUGAGAGUGCUAGCAUGAAACAGGCAGGUGAGAGGAGAGAAAGGUUAGCCCCUCCCUAUUUAUCUGCUGGUUGGCAGUGGCUGGGUUCCUGUAAUAAGGCCACAUCCGCUGUCUGCUGGCCUUACCCUAUGGCUACAUGUCUCAAUGGUUCAGAUAACCAUCCCUUCCUUUCCCUUUCAGGCCAAGGGACAUAACUGGCUGCCCACUGGUCAGCCUCCUGGGGCAGGCACAGAAGGGUGGAGGGAAGACCUCAUUAAAUAAAGACAUCCAGCACACCAAAACAGGCAGAAAGCAGACAUGAUAACGAGAUUGCCACCUAUUUACCUUCUUGUAACCAUAAGAAUGAGGGAAGCUUCAUUCCGACGGAGUUCGACCAAAAUAGAGAAGAAGUUGUAAGGGUACGUGUAACCACUCUAGAUUGGAUACUCCUGCAGCUAAUGAUAUGAUAAUGAGAAAAAUCAUAUGCAACUGAAGUGGAUAUUUCAAUAAAGAGUUGAGCAACAUGUGGUCUAGUUAGGACCAUCUUGGAAAGACUUUGGGAGGUAUUGGUGGAGUAGAUGUGGAGAAGAGUUAGCUUAUUCAGAGAAUUAUACUGAAAUUACUCCCUCAGAAAAACCUUGGAUCUACCAGAGCUUGUUUCUUUGCAAACUUGCUCAUAGGCCAUGUAAAUAAAACUGAAUGUCAUCUGGUGAAUGAUGAAAUGAAGGAAAUAGAAUCAGAGAGGUGGUGAGAUAUUAAAUCACAUAGGUCUGUUGGAAAAUUUUGAAAGGAGGAGCAUGUGAUUUGACUUACAUUUUAAUAGGCUUGUUCAGGAAAAUGUGUGAAGAGAUUGUACAGGGACAUGACUGGAUGUCGAGGACCAGGUAAGAAGCUAAUGCAAUAAUUUAGGCAAAAAGGAUGAUGGUAACAGUGGAGGUGGUGAGAAGUGGCCACAUCCUCAGUAUUUUUGUAAGUAAUACUAUGGAAUCAGCUGAAUAAGUGGAUAUCAGGUGUGAGAAAAGGAGUGAAAAGAAGCCCAAAGGUUUCAGCCUAAGCAAUGGAAGGAUAAAGUUGACAUUUGUUAAGGCAGGGAAGACUGUAAGUGAAGCUGUAUUUUAUCUGGGGUGAAGGGAGAAAUCAGGAGUUUGGUUUUGAACAUAUUGGCUUUGAGAUAUAUAUUAGACAUUCAAAUGGAAAUAUUAAAAAGGUUAUUGGAUAUAUACAGGUCUAGAAUUCAGUGUAGAAGUGUAUGCAGGAGACACCAAUCUGGAUAUUAGCACAUAAACAGUAUUUAAAACUACAAGACUGUAUGGGGUUACCAAAAAAGUGAGAAAAGCAGAAUCCUGGACCACACCGCAGUUCAGAGUUUGGAAAAAUGAGGAAGAGCCAGUAAAGGAAAACUGAGGAUUGGUCAACGAGGUAGAAAGAAAAACCUCUGAUGGAAUUGCAACAUGGGCAGAAACCAGAGGUAGGAAGGCAGGCAACCCUUGCAUAAAAAUAUCCACUCACCAACUGUUCACCAACUGUUCUUCCUCUUGCUGGCAUACCUUAUGCAGCAUCCUCAGAUGCCAGAGCGCGUUUCUGCUGCAGCCUCCACGAUGCCUGGGCUGAUAGCAAUCAGGUCCUGCUAUGCUUCUUUCAGGAAGAGCUGACCCCUGGAAUCUGGGCUAGACUUGCACUUGUUUUGGCCAUUGGAAUAUCAAGCUGACUUUUUGUGGGCUCUGGAGACUAGGACCUAAAAGGAGGAAUGUUGCCCCCUCAUCAUUAUGUAAAGAAGCUGGCGCAACCUGCUGGAGGAGAAUAUGCCACCUGGGGAAGAACUGAGGCACCCAGCCAACAUCCAGCACCCACCACUAGACAUGAAAACACUGGUCGGUUACUAAUGGAGAAGAAGAAAAAGCAGCAAAGACAACGAGUAUACUUGGGAUGCGAUCGCAUGCCUGGAGCAUCUGAGUAUUGGUUGGAAAGAGGUAAAUCAGGCACCAUUUCUCCAUGAUGUGUCAGGACCUGAAUCUGUCAUUUGCGAGCCUGACCUCAUAACUCAGCCAAGCCAAGCUGCAAGGCACCCUGGGAACCCAUCACUGAAAGACUGCAGAGGGAGGAAGGCAAGGGCAGGAAUAGCCAGCUGGUCAAGCAGCAGAGUGUCUCCUCAGCUCCCAGGAAAUGGUGUCUAAGGGUGAUGAUGAACUGGGACUUCAUCUGAGUCCAAAAUAAUGAUGCUGCUGAUGCAACAGCAGAACUUAUUAAACACUUACUACUGCAUAUGCCACUAUGAGGUAGACUUACAGAGAAUAAGUUACUCUCCCAUAAUCACACAGCCAGUAAAUGACAGAAAUGGGAUCCAAUCCAAAUAUGUUUCAUUCUAAAGCCCAUGCUCUUCACCAACAAAGCCCAACUUGAUUUAAUUUAUCCCCAAACAUACCAACAUCCAUUUGUUAGUUCCCUUCCCAAUUUAACUUUAAGCGUCUCACAUACAUACACUGUUUUUAUCCUAACAACAAGUUGGUGAGGAACUGAGCUCAGAGAGGUUAAUCCACCCACUGAAAGGCACCCAGUGUUUAAGAGCAGAGGGAGGGGCCUGACACAGGUCUUUCGGAGCAUGACAUGCAUGUUCUGUCCACAAGGCCUGUUGCUGCCUUUCCCCCAGAGGUCCAGACUGAGGACGGGACAGAGUAGAUAAAGACAGCAGUGUGAGAGGAGGCAGUGGGCAAUAUGGGGAAUCUAGGGGCAGCAGUAUGCUGGUCCCAUAUAAUCAGGCCCGGGGGAGGGGCCCAGACAGAGGGUGGCAGACUCUCUGUACUCCAGCAAGACAAUCCCAGAAGAAAUGCCAGAGAGAUCAAUGAGAAGGCCAGUCAUUUACACUGGGCACACACACAGUGUUUAGGGUACUCAGAUAGGUACCCAGGCCUCACCCCAGGCUGUUUGGACACCAGGAGUCAUAGCACUCUUCCAGGCCACAACUGCUACUUGGGGUGGGAGGAGAGGAUGAGACGUGGCAUUUGUGGAAUAAUGACUGUGGCCAAGCAGUGGGCUCUGUAUGAUGCCAUCGUCAAUUCUCACAGCAAUUCUACAACAUAGGUUUUGUUACUUCUCUCUCACGCUUUACCCUAAAUUUCUCCUGCCUACCACAGUGCUUGGCACACACAAACAGAAUAAUAAUGUGUGGAACUGACUAAUUCAUUUUCCAUUCUGCUGGUCAGGGAGAAAUUAAUAGAGGCAGAGGCUAUUAAUAAAACAUUACAUUACCUCCAAUGAGUGUGGAAUAAUUCUCUAAAAUACUGACAAUCAG
RNAcentral lists this long non-coding RNA (5611 nucleotides) under Homo sapiens (human). Its description in RNAcentral is "HSALNT0292480". Lineage: Eukaryota; Metazoa; Chordata; Mammalia; Primates; Hominidae. The record is from RNAcentral.